UUUCACUGAUACAUAGUCUUGUGUCAUAUUUGCCCAAGAAAAAUAAGACUGUCAUCCUGAUGAGCACUCGACACAAAUACGCCGCUGUCAGCAAAGCAGAGCACAGGAAACCCCAGAUCAUCCUGGACUACAACAGAAACAAAGGAGGCGUUGACUGCCUUGAUAAGCUUACUGGUACAUACACCUGCAAGUGAAUGACAGCUCGUUGGCCUGUGGCAGUGUUCCACAACAUCCUUGAUGUGUCUGCAUGUAAUGCAUAUGUGGUUUGGACAGCGAUUGACCCAGCCUGGAAUCAGGGGAAAUGUUUCAAGAGGAAACUCUUCCUGGCAGAGCUUGGGAAAGAUUUAGUGACUCCUCUAAUUCAACGGCUCCAGCACCUUCCCCGCACACCAGCCUCUGGCAGUCUGGUGAGGAGUCUGCAAGCCCCAGCCACUGCCCUGGCCGCUCUCCCCCCAAACCAGGGGCAGAAACGGAAGAGAUGCGAGCUCUGUGCCCCUAGAGACAAGGAGACAAGUCUUACAUGUUUCAAAUGUGAUGCAUACGUUUUGCAAGGCACACUGCGACCUGAUUGCAAAAUGCCACUCCUGUGUUUGAACACACACACACACACACACACACACACACACACACACACACACACACACACACACACACACACACACACACACACACACACACACACACACACACACACACACACACACACAAACACACACACGAUGUGUUCAAGUUGAUGUUCUGUGAAUUUGGUCUCUGUUUAGAUUUUUUUUUAACAAUAAUUCCUAUUGUAACUCCUAUUCACUGCUAGCCUGGCGAUGUCAUACUCAUAAUUCUAGUCAGAAUAUGAGUCUGAGACCGAACCAUUGGGCUGUGAUUAUAGGGCGGAACCAGGAAGGAAAAUGCCUCUUCGCUCAAUUGGAUAGACCUAAAACCAAUCAGAGCAACGUAGUAUGUGACGUAUGUUGUGCGAAGCACAGCUAUUCUCAAACUAACUCAAGUGAGCGCACGUUCGAAGAAGUAGAAAAAGAAGAUGGACAUAAACGAUUUAUGCCUGUUUUGUAAAAAGAAUUUAAGGAUACACGGACAAAUUGGCAACACGGUCAGCAUUUUUGGGAAAAAAA
Long non-coding RNA from Gadus morhua (Atlantic cod), 1121 nucleotides. RefSeq lists it as uncharacterized. NCBI's taxonomy places the organism in Eukaryota, Metazoa, Chordata, Actinopteri, Gadiformes, Gadidae. The record is from RefSeq and is a predicted model, not a curated record. The transcript is spliced from 2 exons.